GCUUGCUCCUUUGACGUUAGCGGCGGACGGGUGAGUAACACGUGGGUAACCUACCUAUAAGACUGGGAUAACUUCGGGAAACCGGAGCUAAUACCGGAUAAUAUUUCGAACCGCAUGGUUCGAUAGUGAAAGAUGGCUCUGCUAUCACUUAUAGAUGGACCUGCGCCGUAUUAGCUAGUUGGUAAGGUAACGGCUUACCAAGGCAACGAUACGUAGCCGACCUGAGAGGGUGAUCGGCCACACUGGAACUGAGACACGGUCCAGACUCCUACGGGAGGCAGCAGUAGGGAAUCUUCCGCAAUGGGCGAAAGCCUGACGGAGCAACGCCGCGUGAGUGAUGAAGGUCUUCGGAUCGUAAAACUCUGUUAUUAGGGAAGAACAAACGUGUAAGUAACUGUGCACGUCUUGACGGUACCUAAUCAGAAAGCCACGGCUAACUACGUGCCAGCAGCCGCGGUAAUACGUAGGUGGCAAGCGUUAUCCGGAAUUAUUGGGCGUAAAGCGCGCGUAGGCGGUUUUUUAAGUCUGAUGUGAAAGCCCACGGCUCAACCGUGGAGGGUCAUUGGAAACUGGAAAACUUGAGUGCAGAAGAGGAAAGUGGAAUUCCAUGUGUAGCGGUGAAAUGCGCAGAGAUAUGGAGGAACACCAGUGGCGAAGGCGACUUUCUGGUCUGUAACUGACGCUGAUGUGCGAAAGCGUGGGGAUCAAACAGGAUUAGAUACCCUGGUAGUCCACGCCGUAAACGAUGAGUGCUAAGUGUUAAGGGGGUUUCCGCCCCUUAGUGCUGCAGCUAACGCAUUAAGCACUCCGCCUGGGGAGUACGACCGCAAGGUUGAAACUCAAAGGAAUUGACGGGGACCCGCACAAGC
This 869-nucleotide ribosomal RNA is filed under the name Staphylococcus hominis. RNAcentral describes it as "bacterial SSU rRNA". It matches the Rfam family "Bacterial small subunit ribosomal RNA", at positions 78 to 930 of the family's 1533-position model. The record is from RNAcentral. Lineage: Bacteria; Bacillati; Bacillota; Bacilli; Caryophanales; Staphylococcaceae.